RNAcentral lists this long non-coding RNA (372 nucleotides) under Rattus norvegicus (Norway rat). Its description in RNAcentral is "long non-coding RNA NONRATT011727". The record is from RNAcentral. Lineage: Eukaryota; Metazoa; Chordata; Mammalia; Rodentia; Muridae.
AAGUGUAAAAGGACCCAGGACAAUUUAGGAAAUAACUUUCGGGUGGCAUCCGGGCAGUGGGGUGGCUUUAGAGUGUACCCCAGGAUCAGAGCAACUGGCCUCUGCAGACAGAGCAAAGCCAUCCCAGGGGUCUUGAAGUUUGAAAGAUACUUCGGCAACUUGCAUGGUCCCCCCACUGCUGCCAGAUACAUUCUCCCCUCUAGCAGGCCUUCUGCACUGGGAAGUGUGGUGACGGGGCGAUGUCUCAGGCCACUCUGGGGAUGCAUGCGGCCUGUAGUGCUUUGGUUUUCCUCCCUGUGUUGUGUGGUCCACUGCUUUGUCUCCUGAAAAAAUGCUAUCUCCUCUCAUUCUCCUUAAAAAAAAAAAAAAAAA